Molecule: non-coding RNA, 181 nt
Filed under: Planctomycetaceae bacterium
Lineage: Bacteria; Pseudomonadati; Planctomycetota; Planctomycetia; Planctomycetales; Planctomycetaceae
Description: 6S RNA
Rfam family: 6S / SsrS RNA
About the family: E. coli 6S RNA was the first non coding RNA to be sequenced, but its function was unknown until recently.
Source: RNAcentral
CGGUCUCUUCCCUGUGCGAUACCGGGCCUUAUUUGUUGGCCCUACAAGUUCUCCCGCGGGAACUUUUGUGGGCAGGCGAGCGUGUCACCUUUGCGUGGAACGCGCGACCCUGUUCCGAGAUUCCCACUUUUUGAAUGCGGGUUCAGAACAAAUUUCGUCCGAACGGCAGGGCAGAGACUUU